Non-coding RNA from Xylaria scruposa, 110 nucleotides. The record is from the annotation of a GenBank genome assembly. Lineage: Eukaryota; Fungi; Ascomycota; Sordariomycetes; Xylariales; Xylariaceae.
UCCGAAUUGGUGUAGUGGCCAACAUUUGACGCUCUCAUCAAGCUCUUCACCUCCGGGGUUUAGAGCUUAUCAGUGCCGUCAAGCCCGGGGUUCGAUUCCCCGAUUCGGAG